AUAUAAGUAAAUAUAAUAAUUAAAUUAUUAUUUAGAGGAAUUAUAAAAAUAUAGAGAAUAUGAUGUUAGUUCAGACUUAAUACUAUAUAGAGACAUAACACAUGCAAAUCAAACGAUUAUUUAAUUGAUAUAUAAUUAUAUAAUAUUAAUAUUAUAUAAUUCAAAUAAUAAUAAUUAAGUGGUGUAUCCGUGAGUAAUAAAUAGAAUUAGAACUAAUAUAUCUUUUAAAUGAAGAAUAACAAAUAAAGAUAAUUAUUAAAUUAAUUAUUGAUAUUAGUCAGCUAUUAGCAGUAUAGGUAUUAUGUAGGAUAAUAGCCAUACAUAGCCGAUAAUCUGUAGCAAUUAAUUAACGUUAUAAUUGUCACGUCGAUUAUGAAAUACAAUCGAUAUCUAUAUGAUACAGCAGUGAGGAAUAUUGGGCAAUGAUCGAAAGAUUGACCCAGUUAUCUAUAAUAAUGAAAUUUCAAUUUUCUUAUUUAUUUUUUUUUUUUAAAAAAUUUAAAUAUAGUAAAGAAAAAAUUGUUAUAAAUUAAAGUUAUAGACUAGCGAGAAUAAUGAUAGUAGCUAUCAUCAGAUUAUGAUGAAUAUAAAAUUUAUUUUAUAUGUCGAUUAGUACCGAUUAAGAUAUGUGCCAGCAUUCGCGGUUAUACAUAGGGUGCAAGUAUUAGUUAUAUUGGUUUAAAGGAUCC
RNAcentral lists this ribosomal RNA (689 nucleotides) under Williopsis suaveolens. Its description in RNAcentral is "Cyberlindnera suaveolens partial 15S ribosomal RNA". Lineage: Eukaryota; Fungi; Ascomycota; Saccharomycetes; Phaffomycetales; Wickerhamomycetaceae. The record is from RNAcentral.